This 589-nucleotide long non-coding RNA is filed under the name Serinus canaria (Common canary). Its description in RNAcentral is "lncRNA (ENSSCAG00000011916.1)". The record is from RNAcentral. Lineage: Eukaryota; Metazoa; Chordata; Aves; Passeriformes; Fringillidae.
UGUUUUUCUAUGCCAAAGCCAUGAAGUUUUUAUAGCCUGUUUCUGAAAAUCUCUGCCAAGUCUUACACCCGCCACUGAGAGCUUCAUCAGCCGUGGAGUCCAAAGGGAAGAGAAUUAGUCAGUGGCCACUGGGCAUCCAGGAUGGGAUAAACUACAUAAACUACAAAUUGCAGCCCAUCAACUGUACUUACCCAAGAAGGUUGCAAUGGCUGUGGCCUUCAUGAAACCAAGAUUUCACAUACUUAUUUCAGAAGCCAGUGUCAGAAGAGGGCAUGAUGGGCAUGGGCAUGUUCUGACAUCUAUUCAAAUCUGUUCAGUGCUCUUCUGAGAAAUAAUCACAGCAUCGUCCUUUCUGCACAUCAAAGCACACCAGAUUUCACCAACAAGAAUAGAAGAUGUAGACCACGGAAGACUGAGUUUCUGCCCCAAAUUACCACCUAUUUUGAGAUGCAAUUUGGUGGAAAGGCUUUCUCCAAAACAGGGGAGACUGACUUCCUGCAUAAGUAUUUGCCCUUGCAAGCAUUUGUAUGAAGUUGCUCUGUUGGAUCUACUCUAAACUUCUCUAACCUCUCACUCCCCUCACCUGGAC